Molecule: ribosomal RNA, 253 nt
Filed under: uncultured bacterium
Lineage: Bacteria
Description: partial 16S ribosomal RNA
Rfam family: Bacterial small subunit ribosomal RNA
Source: RNAcentral
UACGAAGGGGGCUAGCGUUGCUCGGAAUCACUGGGCGUAAAGGGUGCGUAGGCGGGUUUUUAAGUCAGGGGUGAAAUCCUGGAGCUCAACUCCAGAACUGCCUUUGAUACUGAAGAUCUUGAGUCCGGGAGAGGUGAGUGGAACUGCGAGUGUAGAGGUGAAAUUCGUAGAUAUUCGCAAGAACACCAGUGGCGAAGGCGGCUCACUGGCCCGGUACUGACGCUGAGGCGCGAAAGCGUGGGGAGCAAACAGG